Molecule: ribosomal RNA, 1450 nt
Filed under: uncultured Bordetella sp.
Lineage: Bacteria; Pseudomonadati; Pseudomonadota; Betaproteobacteria; Burkholderiales; Alcaligenaceae
Description: partial 16S-23S ribosomal RNA intergenic spacer
Rfam family: Bacterial small subunit ribosomal RNA
Source: RNAcentral
UUCGAUUAUGGCUCAGAUUGAACGCUGGCGGGAGCUUACACAUGCAAGCGAACGGCAGCACGGACUUCGGUCUGUGUGGCGAGUGGCGAACGGGUGAGUAAUGUAUCGGAACGUACCUAGUAGCGGGGAUAACUGAAAGUGAAAGCAUAGCUAAUACCGCAUACGGCCCUUCGGGGGAAAGCGGGGACCUUCGGGCCUCGCACUAUUAGAGCGGCCGAUAUCGGAUUACGAAUGGAAAGUAACGGCUCACCAUGACGAUCCGUAGCAGCUGGUUUGAGAGGACGACCAGCCACUGGGACUGAGACACGGCCCAGACUCCUACGGGAGGCAGCAGUGGGGAAUUUUGGACAAUGGGGAAACCCCGAUCCAGCCAUCCUGGGCGUGUGAUGAAGGCCUUCGGGGUUGUAAAAGCACUUUUGGCAGGAAAGAACGGCACGGGAUAAUACCCCGUGCAACUGACGGUACCGUGGUAAUGGUUACCCGCUAACUACGCCAGCAGCCGCGGUAAUACGUAGGGUGCAAGCGUUAAUCGGAAUUACUGGGCGCAGCGCGCAGGCGGUUCGAAGAAAGAUGCAAAUCCCAGAGCUUAACUUUGGAACGCAUUUUUAACUACCGAGCUAGAGUGUGUCAGAUGGGAGAAUUCGCGUAGCAGUGAAAUGCGUAGAUAUGCGAGGAACACCGACAGUGAAGCGCAGCCUCCUGGGAUAACACUGACGCUCAUGCACGAAAGCGUGGGAGCAAACAGAUUAGAUACCCCGUAGUCCACGCGCCUCAAACGAUGUCAACUAGCUGUUGGGGCCUUCGGGCCUUGGUAGCGCAGCUAACAGCGUGAAGUUGACCGCCUGGGGAGUACGGUCGCAAGAUUAAAACUCAAAGGAAUUGACGGGGACCCGCACAAAGCGGUGGAUGAUGUGGAUUAAUCUGAUGCAACGCGAAAACCUUACCUACCCUUGACAUGUCUGGAAUCCCGAAGAGAUUUGGGAGUGCUCGCAAGAGAACCGAACACAGGUGCUGCAUGGUUGUCGUCAGCUCGUGUCGUGAGAUGCUGGGUUAAGUCCCGCAACAGCGCAACCCUUGUCAUUAGUUGCUACGAAAGCGGGCACUUCAUCGAGACUGCCGGUGACAAACCGCGGAAGGUGGGGAUGACGCCGUCCUCAUGUACUCUUGCGGGUAGGGCUUCACACGUCAUACAAUGGUCGGGACAGAGGGUCGCCAACCCGAGGAGCCGCAAUCCCAGAAACCCGAUCGUAGUCCGAUCGCAGUUCGCAACUCGACUGCGUGAAGUCGGAACUGCUAGUAAUCGCGGAUCAUUGUCGCGGUGAAUACGUUCCUGGUCUUGUACACACCGCCCGUCACACCAUGUGAGUGUUUACCAGAAGUAGUUAGCCUAACCGUAAGGAGGGCGAUUACCACGUAGGAUUCAAGACUGGGGUGAAGUCGUACCGCAAAU